RNAcentral lists this long non-coding RNA (1051 nucleotides) under Parus major (Great Tit). RNAcentral describes it as "lncRNA (ENSPMJG00000006366.1)". Lineage: Eukaryota; Metazoa; Chordata; Aves; Passeriformes; Paridae. The record is from RNAcentral.
GUGAAAUCUUGAUGGGAAGCCUUACAAGGCGCAGCCCUUUUCUCUCACUUGGUUUGACAAUUUUAGCCACUGGCUGUAAGAAGCUCCCACGGGCAGAUAUUACUACCCAGAUUCCCGAGGUGAGGAAGCUGAGCCAGGGGAGGGGAGGGGCUGCAGGGGAGCGCCGCGCUGGGGCUGCCCUUAAUCUGCAGAGAUAAGCAGCGCUUUGGGGCAGGGCAGAAAUAGCGCCUGGUGACCCAGGGCUGCCCGGAGCCCCGGGCCGCUCUCCGCAGCAUCUCUUCCAGGCAAAGGCUUGGACUGUGCCCCAUGCCGGAGCGCUCUCCCGCUGCUGGGAAUUAAUGGCUUCCGCGCAGGAGGAAUGAUACUUUCCUCAUCAGUGCUGCAGAUGGAGCUCCAAGCAACAGCCAAGGCAGGGGACUUCCACCUCCUCUAACCGGAGGCAGAUGAAGCGGGUGCCCUGCACGCAGAGGGUUCGGCAGCGAUUUCCCCAGUCCCUGCGCCAUCGGCCGCGCCGCCAGCUCCCGGCAAUGUCAGCAGCCAUCCAGCUGGUGAGAGCAAUGGUGAGCCCAGGCUGUGCUGCAGGGCUGGAGGUCCUUGUCAGGCUCUUUGGGAAUUCCCGCCCUCCACAUGCCGGAUGCCUUCCUUUGGAUGGGCUUUGCUGGGGUUCCUGGGAGAAGCAGCCUCAAGGAGCGCCUGCUGCCCCCAAAGCACGAGGGGAAGACAAGGCAGCUCCGAGGCAGAGCCGUGCGUGUGAACGCAGUGCUGUCCGUGAGUCUGGCUGGCACCUCCCUUGUCCCCUGCACCAUCCCCACCCUGCCUCAGCUGUGGCAGAGCUGAAAGCAGGGGGUGGCAGCGUCUCACACACGGUGCUCCAAAAACCCUCGGAAAGGACCCGGCAUUUCAAAACAAAAUGCUACCACAGCAUUCUCAUUACGGUUCCACGAUAUCUGUAUCACAAAACCUGGCAAUUUUAAUGACAAAGUACUGCGAUGCCACCAAGUAUUUUUUUAGAACUAAUAAAACCUCUGCAGAAUAUUUCCCUGGAAUGUAU